UUGAUCAAAUAGGAGAGUGUCUAGAGUAAUGGAUUUUGUAGUUGGCUGUGGAAGAUAUCUGUGGGCUAAUGAGAGAGUGGGCAUACAAGCCUGUGAACAACCAUGCACCUCAUCCCUUGUUCUUAUUUGAUGGAAACAUGAUACUUGGCUCUUAUCCUAGCCUGUCAGCGAAAAAGGAAAAGAUCAAAGAGCCCCUUCUUGGGGAACUGUUCAGAAAGGACCUUUGAUCAAAGGCAGCAUCAGAGGUACCAAGGUCUCAACAUCUUUUCCCUCAACCCCACUUUCAGUGCUCAUAAGUGAGAAACUGAUUGAAUAGAAGAAACUGAGUGUGCCUUGGAAAGAGAUUGUAGACAUGAUUCUGACCUAA
Non-coding RNA from Psammomys obesus (fat sand rat), 367 nucleotides. RefSeq annotates it as small Cajal body-specific RNA 2. Lineage: Eukaryota; Metazoa; Chordata; Mammalia; Rodentia; Muridae. The record is from RefSeq and is a predicted model, not a curated record. The transcript has a single exon.